CAGUCGCCGCGGUAAUACGGAGGGUGCAAGCGUUAAUCGGAAUUACUGGGCGUAAAGCGCACGCAGGCGGUCUGACAAGUCAGAUGUGAAAUCCCCGGGCUUAACCUGGGAACUGCAUUUGAAACUGUCAGGCUGGAGUCUUGUAGAGGGGGGUAGAAUUCCAGGUGUAGCGGUGAAAUGCGUAGAGAUCUGGAGGAAUACCGGUGGCGAAGGCGGCCCCCUGGACAAAGACUGACGCUCAGGUGCGAAAGCGUGGGGAGCAAACAGGAUUAGAUACCCCAGUAGUACCUGUCUCUUAUAA
RNAcentral lists this ribosomal RNA (301 nucleotides) under uncultured bacterium. Its description in RNAcentral is "partial 16S ribosomal RNA". It matches the Rfam family "Bacterial small subunit ribosomal RNA", at positions 509 to 809 of the family's 1533-position model. The record is from RNAcentral.